CAAAAUUCAUGAACCAAGCAAAAUCUAUCAACACAACAACACAUGUCGACCAACUAUAUACUUAGAAGACAAACUGACGAUUAAGCCAUCUCGAUAGCUAAUCCCAAUUCGGCGCAACGUCGAGAACGGCGAAAUUGCACCCUCGCCCAGCCUUCUCGCGAUGCUACGACGACGAACGUACACUCGAACGGCACCGCGGCGCGACGUCGGCGAAACUCCAACACCACCCAAGCUCCUCCGCCGCACGUACGACCAAGCUCAAGAGAGAGAGAGAGCACAACUAAAACAUCUCCUCUCUUCUUCUCUCUAUCCUAUAUAG
RNAcentral lists this long non-coding RNA (319 nucleotides) under Ananas comosus (pineapple). RNAcentral's name for it is "long non-coding RNA (ACOM_LNC005794)". The record is from RNAcentral. Lineage: Eukaryota; Viridiplantae; Streptophyta; Magnoliopsida; Poales; Bromeliaceae.